RNAcentral lists this ribosomal RNA (433 nucleotides) under uncultured bacterium. RNAcentral describes it as "partial 16S ribosomal RNA". It matches the Rfam family "Bacterial small subunit ribosomal RNA", at positions 29 to 507 of the family's 1533-position model. The record is from RNAcentral.
AACGAACGCUGGCGGCAUGCCUAACACAUGCAAGUCGAACGAGACCUUCGGGUCUAGUGGCGCACGGGUGCGUAACGCGUGGGAACCUGCCCUUAGGUUCGGAAUAACUCCCCGAAAGGGGUGCUAAUACCGGAUAAUGUCUUCGGACCAAAGAUUUAUCGCCUUUGGAUGGGCCCGCGUUGGAUUAGCUAGUUGGUAGGGUAAAAGCCUACCAAGGCGACGAUCCAUAGCUGGUCUGGGAGGAUGAUCAGCCACACUGGGACUGAGACACGGCCCAGACUCCUACGGGAGGCAGCAGUGGGGAAUAUUGGACAAUGGGCGAAAGCCUGAUCCAGCAAUGCCGCGUGAGGGAUGAAGGCCUUAGGGUUGUAAAGCUCUUUUACCCGGGAUGAUAAUGACAGUACCGGGAGAAUAAGCUCCGGCUAACUCCGUG